AUGUGCGCCGCCAGGACCAUCCGCGCCCAGCGCGACCGCCUCCUGCGGUGCCAACCCCUGCUGAAGGAUGCCUCGGGCGACGCGGUGGCGGACUACGCGCGCGCGCCCAGGCUCGAGAAGCUCGUCUCCGACCUCGUCCACGCAAGCGACAGCGACUCCCUGGGCCUCGAGGCCGGGUCCCGCUACCUCGCCACCUGCCUCGAGAUGGCUGCCCAGAGCGGCGCCCGCCUCGACCUCAACGACGCCCUCCCCGUCAUGCCGGACGAGCAGGUCUACCACGCGCUCCUCGCGCAGUCCUUCCCCGCGCCCCCGGCCACCCAGACGGAGGCCUUCUCCCGCAUCGAGGCCGCCUACCACGCCGUCAAGCUGUCCCAGGAGCACCACCUCCCGCUCUGCAUCCAUGCCAUCGACCACCUCGCCAGGAUCGCCCGCGCGGCCCCGCACCACGCUCCGCGCCGCCACCGCCGUGGCCGCAAGGCCGCCCACUCCGACGCCACCGGCGAGCCCCAGAUGGAGGAGGAGGCCAUCGGCAGCAUGGACGAAGCACGCACCCACCUCGACUGCGCGUGCACGCUCGCGAGCCUCGCCGUCGAGCACAUCGACCACGCUGUCACCGCCAUCUCUGCCUUCAUCGACCCGAAGGAGGUGGCCGGCAUAGCCAAGAUGGCGAAAAAGGUGGCAAUUGUAAAUUAG
RNAcentral lists this ribosomal RNA (693 nucleotides) under Triticum aestivum (bread wheat). Its description in RNAcentral is "partial small subunit ribosomal RNA". The record is from RNAcentral. Lineage: Eukaryota; Viridiplantae; Streptophyta; Magnoliopsida; Poales; Poaceae.